Molecule: long non-coding RNA, 2071 nt
Organism: Vicia villosa (hairy vetch)
Lineage: Eukaryota; Viridiplantae; Streptophyta; Magnoliopsida; Fabales; Fabaceae
Exons: 5
Source: RefSeq, a predicted model, not a curated record
UUUUUAGAUAAACUUUUCAAAUUCUUUAGUGUUUCCAAUGCUACAUUAUAUUUUUCACUAAUCCAUUCAGAUUCAUGUUUUCAAAAUUCUAAUCCUCCUUUUUCCACCUCCCUCCUCUUCAUCUUCCUUCUUCCCUCUUCCGUAUUUUCUUCUUCUUUUUUGUUUUUCUUCCUUAUUCCUUUUUUUCAUUUUUUAGAUAGAUUCAAGAUGACGCCUCUUUGUUUAUUUGACGGAUCUAUAUCUGCGACGAUGCCUCUUUGUCAAGAGAAACCAACCGAGAUUGCGUCCAUAGGUUUGCUUUAACCAAUUAAAUGCAAAAAUCCAUAGAUCAGUUCUUAAAUCAAUGUCGAUCUUCUUGGGUAAGGAAACCCUAACCUAAUCUGCUUUCAACCCUUUUCUGGGUUUUGAUUUUGUAGUUAGGGUUUUGAUUUUGUAGUUAGGGGUUUUAUAGUCCAAGACUCAGAAGGAGUGUUAGCCUAAAAGUUCGAUUUAUGGCUGAGAUAAUUAUGGUUUUAUCAAACUUAUUUUAAGGUUAUAUGUAUACUAUUUGCUUAUGCAUAUGAAAUGUGGUUAUAAUUUAAGAAUUGUUGGUUGCUAAUUAUUACUUAUUACAUCCCUGUUGGUUUCAAGCUUACGUGAAUUUGAGCUUUUUUACUAUCCAAACUGAACAUACCAGCUUUGUUUUUGUUAUAAAAGUAAUUAUAUAUGGUUAUUGAUAUUUUGUGGUUGAUUUGAUAAUUUUGAGGUUUAUUUUUCAGGAUUUAGACAUGAUCGAGUUUUACCGCUGACUUUUGAAUCUAACAAGAGGAUUAAGUGAAAGAAAGAGCAAAAAGAGAUGCAGCAGCUUCUAGCAAUGGAGGGAAUACUCAUGGAAAGAUAUUUAAGGAUAUGAUAAAAGAAAUGAGAAUGGAUCUAAAGAAAUCAAGAUACAAACCUUUGAUGAAUUAUAUCUCUACUCUUACUAUGUUGCUGGAACUGUUGGUUUAAUGAGUGUACCAGUCAUGGGAAUCUCAAUGCAUUCGCAAGCCACAACUAAGAGUGUAUACAAUGCUGCCUUGCCCUUAGGAAUUGUAAAUCAGCUAACCAACAUACCCAGAGAUGUCGGAGAGGAUUAACUUAUUCACUUAAGAUCAUCCAAGAUGGACUGUGUUUGACAUCGAAAAUAACUCUGUAGAUGAUUGUUUUGACAUUGAAAUGGCAGCUGGAAAGUCUCACAGUUUCAUGAUGUCGGAGUCUCUAAAGCCUUCACCGGCUAAGAAGCCUUGCAAAUAUCGAAGCAGGGAAAAUAUCAGGAAGAUCCUAUUCCAGUGAAGUUAUGGAACAAGAAAUUUGGAAAGAUUUUCCUGAAGAUUUAUUUGACACGGAAUUCAAAUGGGUCAACUUUGAUAUAAACAUGUUUGCUGAAGUUGCUGAAGGUUUUGAAGAUUUUGAAGUCAUUGUUUUACAGAUUUGAGAAAGAUUUUUGUUAAAAUUCUAUAAAUUUAAUGCAAAUUAAUUUAUUUUAUUGGUUGUUAACUCAGUAUCGUGAAUACCAAUUAAUUUAAUUCAAUGGUAGUUAAUGGAAAUUGAUUUAGCUUUAUUUCCUAUUUGCCUCACUAUGUUAUUGUUAUGCUGAUAGAUAUUCUUUACUCUAAUAUAGUUUUAGCAAAGAAACUUGAAUUAUUUAUAUAUUUUUGUAGUUCUAUGAAGAUGGGAGAAACAUGGUUUAUGCCUUAAUUAUUUAUAGUAAGAAUUUAUCAUCAUAAUUUGUCAUUAAUACUUAGAAAUAUUUACAUGUUUUUCUUAUGUUUAUAAAGAAGAUGUAGAGUUUGUCUUAAUUUAUUUGAAAUAAAAUUGAAGUUAUUAAAUUUAUUUUUAAUGCCAAAACUUAGUGAGUCAAAAAUAUUAAGAGGAACUUAUUUUAAUUGAAAUUAUAAUUAAUUUAAUUUUAUUUAAGAUGACUUAUAUAAUUUUUUAAAAUUUAAGAUAACUUAUUAAUAUAAGUUAAUUUUUUUAAUGAAGCCAAAAAAUAUUGUUUAAAAAUUGAUACACAAAAAAAUAAGGACUAAUCCAUGAGUAAAUUAAUUGUCGA